GAUGAAGACGUAGCGAAAUGCGAUACUUGGUGUGAAUUGCAGAAUCCCGUGAACCAUCGAGUCUUUGAACGCAAGUUGCGCCCGAAGCCAUUAGGCCGAGGGCACGCCUGCCUGGGCGUCACACGUCGUUGCCCCCCCAUCUACUCCUUCGGGAUUGCGGGGGGCGGAUGAUGGCCUCCCGUGCGCCUCGCCGCGCGGUUGGCAUAAAUGCCAAGUCCUCGGCGACGCACGCCACGACAAUCGGUGGUUGCGAAACCUCGGUUGCCCGUCGUGUGCGGUCGUCGCGCAUCGAGGGCUCGAAAAAAUUGCCGGGCUCCGGCUCGACUUUCAACGCGACCCCAGGUCAGGCGGGGUUACCCGCUGAAUUUAAGCAUAUCAAUAAGCGGAGGA
Molecule: unclassified non-coding RNA, 390 nt
Filed under: soil metagenome
Description: partial contains 5.8S ribosomal RNA, internal transcribed spacer 2, and large subunit ribosomal RNA
Rfam family: 5.8S ribosomal RNA (bases 1-121)
Source: RNAcentral